RNAcentral lists this ribosomal RNA (884 nucleotides) under uncultured Campylobacter sp. RNAcentral describes it as "bacterial SSU rRNA". It matches the Rfam family "Bacterial small subunit ribosomal RNA". Lineage: Bacteria; Pseudomonadati; Campylobacterota; Epsilonproteobacteria; Campylobacterales; Campylobacteraceae. The record is from RNAcentral.
GACGGACGCUGGCGGCGUGCUUAACACAUGCAAGUCGAACGAUGAAGCGCUGUCUUUUUGGUGGUGUGGAUUAGUGGCGAACGGGUGAGUAAUACGCGGGCAACCUGCCCCUCUGCUUCGGGAUAAGCUUUGGAAACGGGGUCUAAUACCGGAUGUGCCUGUCUGGUCGCAUGGCUGGGCGGGGAAAGAUGUUUUUCGGCGGGGGAUGGGCUCGCGGCCUAUCAGCUUGUUGGUGGGGUGACGGCCUACCAAGGCGUCGACGGGUAGCCGGCCUGAGAGGGUGGUCGGCCACACUAGGACUGAGAUACGGCCCAGACUCCUACGGGAGGCAGCAGUGGGGGAUAUUGCACAAUGGGCGCAAGCCUGAUGCAGCGACGCCGCGUGGGGGAUGGAGGCUUUCGGGUUGUAAACCCCUUUCGGCGCGGGACAAGGCUCCGUUUGGCGGGGUUGAGGGUACGCGUCAAAGAAGCGCCGGCUAACUACGUGCCAGCAGCCGCGGUAAUACGUAGGGCGCGAGCGUUGUCCGGAAUUAUUGGGCGUAAAGGGCUCGUAGGCGGCUUGUCUCGUCUGCUGUGAAAACGCGGGGCUCAACUCCGCGCGUGCAGUGGGUACCGGCAGGCUGGAGUGCGGCGGGGGUGGCUGGAGUUUCCUGGGGUAGCGCGGGGAAAGCGCAGAUAUCUGGAAGAACACCCCUGGGGAAGGCAGGGCCACUGGGCCGUCUCUGAGACUCAUGAGCGCAAACGUGGUGGAGGUAACAGGAUGAUAAACCCUGGUGGUCUACGAGGGAUUUCUCACGGGGGGCAGCCCGCCGGGGGGACUAGUUCUAUACGGGCGCCGGCCGGGGCUCCAUCUAUUCGUCUCUAUAUUGAUAUAUAUUCUUCUUU